UGCAAUUUGGUGAGUAAAGCUCGUAGUCGGAUUUCGGGCGCGAGUGACUGUCAUCCUCUGAUUGGACGGUGCGCGCGUGCCUUUCUGCUUGGGACCCGUUGCCGGUUAAUUCUGUCGGGGGGGGUCAAAAGUCUUUUACUUUGAAAAAAUUAUGGUGUUCAAAGCAGGCUGUUGCUUGAAUUUAUUAUCAUGGAAUAAUGGAAUAGGACCUUGGCGCUAUUUCGUUGGUUAUGGGACUGGGGUAAUGAUUAAUAAGGACUGUUGGGGCCGUUCAUAUUUCGUUGUAGGAGGUGAUAUUCUUGUAUUUACAAACGAUGAACUUGUGCGAAAGCAUUCAGCAAGGAUGUUUUCAUUGAUCAACAACAAAAGUUAGGGGAUCGAAGACGAUCAAAUACCGUCGUAUUCUUAACCAUAAACUAUGCCUCCUAAGGAUCAUUGAGUGUCAAUUUACUACCUCAUUGGCACCUUGUGCAAAAUCAAAGUUUUUGGGUUCCGGGGGGAGUAUGGUCGCAAGGCUGAAACUUAUUGGAAUUGACGGAACGCCACCACCGGAAGUGGAGCCUGCGGCUUACUUUGACUCAGCACAGUGAAACUUACCAGAUCCAGACAUAAUCGAGAUGGACAGAUUGCAUUCUCUUUCCUGAUUCUAUGGGUGCAGGUGCAUGCUCAUUCUUAGUAGUUGGAGUGAUGUGUCUGGUUAAUUCCGUUAACGAACGAAACCUCAUCCUGCUAACUAGCGAUGCCCAUUUUUAAUGCGUAGUCCGCGUCUUAUAGGGACUAUUCCUGUUCAACGAAAGGAAGUUUGAGGCAAUAGCAGGUCUGUGAUGCCCUUAGAUGUUCUGGGGCGCACGCGCGCUACACUGAUGGAUGCAACGAGCUCUACACGUUGACCGAUAAGCCCCAGUAAACGUCGUCGAUAUCCAUCGAGAUGUGGGAUAGAUUGAUCGCUGAUCUUGAUCUCCAACGAAGAAUUACUAGUAAGACUGAGUCAUCAUAUCGCGCUGAUUACUGUACUGCCCUCUCGUACACUCCGACCGAUCUUCCUAGCGAUUGGAAAGCUCUGCGACAUCAUGCAGAGUCGCUGGCUGAGCUUAGCCACUCGCUGUGAGCAACUUGCAUCUUAACCUUAUCG
This 1132-nucleotide ribosomal RNA is filed under the name uncultured eukaryote. Its description in RNAcentral is "bacterial SSU rRNA". It matches the Rfam family "Eukaryotic small subunit ribosomal RNA", at positions 604 to 1776 of the family's 1831-position model. The record is from RNAcentral.